This 496-nucleotide ribosomal RNA is filed under the name uncultured bacterium. Its description in RNAcentral is "partial 16S ribosomal RNA". It matches the Rfam family "Bacterial small subunit ribosomal RNA", at positions 28 to 506 of the family's 1533-position model. The record is from RNAcentral.
GAUGAACGCUGGCGGCGUGCCUAAUACAUGCAAGUCGAGCGAACGGACGAGAAGCUUGCUUCUCUGAUGUUAGCGGCGGACGGGUGAGUAACACGUGGAUAACCUACCUAUAAGACUGGGAUAACUUCGGGAAACCGUAGCUAAUACCGGAUAAUAUUUUGAACCGCAUGGUUCAAAAGUGAAAGACGGUCUUGCUGUCACUUAUAGAUGGAUCCGCGCUGCAUUAGCUAGUUGGUAAGGUAACGGCUUACCAAGGCAACGAUGCAUAGCCGACCUGAGAGGGGGCUCGGCCACCUGGGAACUGAGACCCGGUCCAGACCCCUACGGGGGGCAGCAGGUGGGAAUCUUCCGAAAGGGGCGAAAGCCUGACGGAGCAACGCCGCGGGAGUGAUGAAGGUCUUCGGAUCGUAAAACUCUGUUUUUAGGGAAAAAAAAAUUUGUAAGUAACGGGCCACAUCUUGACGGUACCAAACCAAAAAGCCCCGGCUAACUACGU